AACGAACGCUGGCGGCAUGCCUAACACAUGCAAGUCGAACGAGACCUUCGGGUCUAGUGGCGCACGGGUGCGUAACGCGUGGGAACCUGCCUUUAGGUUCGGAAUAACUCAGAGAAAUUUGAGCUAAUACCGGAUGAUGUCUUCGGACCGAAGAUUUAUCGCCUUUAGAUGGGCCCGCGUUGGAUUAGCUAGUUGGUGGGGUAAAGGCCUACCAAGGCGACGAUCCAUAGCUGGUCUGAGAGGAUGAUCAGCCACACUGGGACUGAGACACGGCCCAGACUCCUACGGGAGGCAGCAGUGGGGAAUAUUGGACAAUGGGCGAAAGCCUGAUCCAGCAAUGCCGCGUGAGUGAUGAAGGCCUUAGGGUUGUAAAGCUCUUUUACCCGAGAUGAUAAUGACAGUAUCGGGAGAAUAAGCUCCGGCUAACUCCGUG
Molecule: ribosomal RNA, 433 nt
Filed under: uncultured bacterium
Lineage: Bacteria
Description: partial 16S ribosomal RNA
Rfam family: Bacterial small subunit ribosomal RNA
Source: RNAcentral